AUGCAGAAUGACCAUUAGUCCUUUUCUCCUCAUAUUUUUAAAGUCGCUGGUCCCAAUGUUGUAGUUUGAGAGUUUGUAACAAUUUAACUACUAGAGAAGCUUAGACCAAACGUAGAGCUUCUUAAAGAAAGGAUGGCGCUGAUAAAAAUCUACCAGAAAAAUUUUGUGUCUAACCACAGCACGGAGGAGAUUAUCUCUGAGUUUCCAUGUUUCAGACUGGCCAAAAUGCUCCUUUGUGAUCUGAGAGACCGUACCAACAUUGAUGUGGACCAACAGAUUCUCUCUCAGCUCUCGGUAAUGGCACCUAAAGUCCUUCAAGUUUCACGGAGUCCCCUGAUGGAGAAGUUCAGGCGUGUGGUUGAUGACUGUGAAGAUGGCAGACUGAAAAAAGGACUACCGUUAGAAGCAGCUAUUCUGCUCUUGCCUGCACUGUUUAAGGAGGACCCGGGGUUGCUGUUUAAAGUUGAGGGCCAUGCUCAGACCUGCCCUCCUGACACACCAACACCUAAAAUGGUUCUCAAAGGCUGCAGGGAGGGUCAUCCCAUGCAAUACGACCACAUUGUCAUCAUGUUGGAUGGCCAGUCCAUUACUGAGGAGAGUGAGGACAUCUCAAUGGCACUGGGCCUCAUCCUUUGUAUAUAUUUUCUGUUUGGGAUCCAAUAUCCUAAACGACUGAAAAAGACACUGACCUUCCUGGAGUGCGUUGUCUUAAAAAUGAAGGAUGCAGCCGGACUUCCUGUCACAAUUAAAAGAGUGUACAACUCAAUCUGUGCAUAGAGUCUCUCUCUCUCUCUCUCUCUCUCUCUCUUUA
Molecule: long non-coding RNA, 811 nt
Organism: Cyprinus carpio (common carp)
Lineage: Eukaryota; Metazoa; Chordata; Actinopteri; Cypriniformes; Cyprinidae
Source: Ensembl